CAGCCGCCGCGGUAAUACGAAGGGGGCUAGCGUUGCUCGGAACGACUGGGCGUAAAGGGCGCGUAGGCGGUUUAUACAGUCAGAUGUGAAAUUCCUGGGCUCAACCUGGGGACUGCAUUUGAUACGUAUGGACUUGAGUGGAGAAGAGGGUUGUGGAAUUUCCAGUGUAGAGGUGAAAUUCGUAGAUAUUGGAAAGAACACCGGUGGCGAAGGCGGCAACCUGGUCUUUAACUGACGCUGAGGCGCGAAAGCGUGGGGAGCAAACAGGAUUAGAUACCCGCGUAGUCCCUGUCUCUUAUAC
RNAcentral lists this ribosomal RNA (301 nucleotides) under uncultured bacterium. Its description in RNAcentral is "partial 16S ribosomal RNA". It matches the Rfam family "Bacterial small subunit ribosomal RNA", at positions 509 to 807 of the family's 1533-position model. The record is from RNAcentral.